CUCGGAGUUCAAUAUUUUUGUUUUUCUGUUUUUUUUUAAUUUUUUAUAGACAUUUAUAUCAAUUAUGAUCGAAAUUUAAACAGCUUAGUUGUCAUUAAUUUCCGUAUCAUUCAUCCCGAGUUUACGCUUAUAGUUGAAUGGUCAAAUAUUGGUAGUUUUAUACUGUGGUGAUCACAAAGGAUACAUGUUCUAACGAUUUAUAUCAAUCAUUUAUUAACUUUUAAACUUU
This 229-nucleotide long non-coding RNA is filed under the name Mytilus galloprovincialis (Mediterranean mussel). Lineage: Eukaryota; Metazoa; Mollusca; Bivalvia; Mytilida; Mytilidae. The record is from RNAcentral.